This is an RNA transcript of Selaginella moellendorffii, 502 nucleotides long. RefSeq lists it as uncharacterized. The transcript is spliced from 3 exons. Lineage: Eukaryota; Viridiplantae; Streptophyta; Lycopodiopsida; Selaginellales; Selaginellaceae. The record is from RefSeq and is a predicted model, not a curated record.
GCUGCUUUUUGUUCGAUCGAUGAAGAGGAGGGAUUUAAAAUUCCAAAAGAUGGCUCCUAGUGCUUCAAAUUCCCAUCACUCUAUUGUGUCUUCGGCGGCUUUGAUGCUUUUGACACUGUUAGCACUUGUCUUUUGCUGCUUGCUUCUUGUCGGAAACAAGAGGCUACACGAGGACGCCAACGUUGUGAAAGAUGUUCUUAUUGAGGCUGCCAACAAUGCCACAGCUACUAUAUACAAUGUCACGACAGAGAUGACGGAUAUAACGAGCAAGUUGGAGCCAUUCGAUGGUAACCUUACUACUCUGUUCUCGUCGAAGGCCAGGCUCUACUUUGAAGCCGUGCAAAUCCAACAAAAGGUUCAGGACAACAAGAAGCUGAUUGAGAGAACGUUGAAAGAAAUGUGAGAUACAUCACUAUCCUUGUUACGAGCUCGGUAAUAAUGCUCUUUUUGAUAGUGGGACUAGUUAUUUUGAUCGGUAGGGUCAGAUUUCUGUGAUAAGUAC